Molecule: non-coding RNA, 45 nt
Filed under: Schistosoma curassoni
Lineage: Eukaryota; Metazoa; Platyhelminthes; Trematoda; Strigeidida; Schistosomatidae
Source: RNAcentral
AUCCAGCUGACCGGUUCCAAAUAAGACGAAAUGAGCAUCAUGGAU